UACGUAGGGUGCGAGCGUUAAUCGGAAUUACUGGGCGUAAAGCGUGCGCAGGCGGUGAUGUAAGACAGUCGUGAAAUCCCCGGGCUCAACCUGGGAAUUGCGAUUGUGACUGCAUCGCUGGAGUGCGGCAGAGGGGGAUGGAAUUCCGCGUGUAGCAGUGAAAUGCGUAGAUAUGCGGAGGAACACCGAUGGCGAAGGCAAUCCCCUGGGCCUGCACUGACGCUCAUGCACGAAAGCGUGGGGAGCAAACAGG
Molecule: ribosomal RNA, 253 nt
Filed under: uncultured bacterium
Lineage: Bacteria
Description: partial 16S ribosomal RNA
Rfam family: Bacterial small subunit ribosomal RNA
Source: RNAcentral